AGUCGAGCGGUAAGGCCACUUCGGUGGUACACGAGCGGCGAACGGGUGAGUAACACGUGAGCAACCUGCCCUUCUCUUUGGAAUAAGCGUUGGAAACGACGUCUAAUGCCGAAUAUGACCUCUUUUCGCAUGAUUUGAGGUGGAAAGCUCCGGCGGAGAGGGAUGGGCUCGCGGCCUAUCAGCUAGUUGGUGUGGGUAAUGGCCCACCAAGGCGACGACGGGUAGCCGGCCUGAGAGGGUGACCGGCCACACUGG
RNAcentral lists this ribosomal RNA (255 nucleotides) under uncultured Nocardioidaceae bacterium. Its description in RNAcentral is "partial 16S ribosomal RNA". It matches the Rfam family "Bacterial small subunit ribosomal RNA", at positions 60 to 316 of the family's 1533-position model. The record is from RNAcentral. Lineage: Bacteria; Bacillati; Actinomycetota; Actinomycetes; Propionibacteriales; Nocardioidaceae.